RNAcentral lists this ribosomal RNA (253 nucleotides) under uncultured bacterium. Its description in RNAcentral is "partial 16S ribosomal RNA". It matches the Rfam family "Bacterial small subunit ribosomal RNA", at positions 524 to 776 of the family's 1533-position model. The record is from RNAcentral.
UACGGGGGGGGCAAGCGUUGUUCGGAAUUACUGGGCGUAAAGGGUUCGUAGGUGGCCUACUAAGUCAGACGUGAAAUCCCUCAGCUUAACUGGGGAACUGCGUCUGAUACUGAGUGGCCUGAGUGCAGGAGAGGAAUGCGGAAUUCCAGGUGUAGCGGUGAAAUGCGUAGAUAUCUGGAGGAACACCGGUGGCGAAGGCGGCAUUCUGGACUGUAACUGACACUGAGGAACGAAAGCCAGGGGAGCAAACGGG